This 742-nucleotide ribosomal RNA is filed under the name uncultured Rhodoluna sp. RNAcentral's name for it is "bacterial SSU rRNA". It matches the Rfam family "Bacterial small subunit ribosomal RNA", at positions 41 to 795 of the family's 1533-position model. Lineage: Bacteria; Bacillati; Actinomycetota; Actinomycetes; Micrococcales; Microbacteriaceae. The record is from RNAcentral.
GGNGUGCUUACACAUGCAAGUCGAACGAUGAUGCUGGAGCUUGCUCCAGUUGAUUAGUGGCGAACGGGUGAGUAACACGUGAGCAAUCUGCCCUUGACUCUGGGAUAACUGCGGGAAACUGUAGCUAAUACCGGAUACUUUCACCGGAAGGCAUCUUCUGGUGAUGAAAGAAUUUCGGUCAGGGAUGAGCUCGCGGCCUAUCAGCUUGUUGGUGAGGUAACGGCUCACCAAGGCGACGACGGGUAACCGGCCUGAGAGGGUGACCGGUCACACUGGGACUGAGACACGGCCCAGACUCCUACGGGAGGCAGCAGUGGGGAAUAUUGCACAAUGGGCGCAAGCCUGAUGCAGCAACGCCGCGUGAGGGAUGAAGGCNUUCGGGUUGUAAACUUCUUUUAGCAGGGAAGAAGCGAAAGUGACGGUACCUGCAGAAAAAGCACCGGCUAACUACGUGCCAGCAGCCGCGGUAAUACGUAGGGUGCAAGCGUUGUCCGGAAUUAUUGGGCGUAAAGAGCUCGUAGGCGGUUUGUCACGUCUGCUGUGAAAAUCCAAGGCUCAACCUUGGACUUGCAGUGGGUACGGGCAGGCUAGAGUGCGGUAGGGGAGAUGGGAAUUCCUGGUGUAGCGGUGGAAUGCGCAGAUAUCAGGAGGAACACCAAUGGCGAAGGCACAUCUCUGGGCCGUAACUGACGCUGAGGAGCGAAAGCGUGGGGAGCAAACAGGAUUAGAUACCCUGGUAGUC